This 407-nucleotide ribosomal RNA is filed under the name uncultured Lactobacillus sp. RNAcentral describes it as "bacterial SSU rRNA". It matches the Rfam family "Bacterial small subunit ribosomal RNA", at positions 28 to 399 of the family's 1533-position model. The record is from RNAcentral. Lineage: Bacteria; Bacillati; Bacillota; Bacilli; Lactobacillales; Lactobacillaceae.
GAUGAACGCUGGCGGCGUGCCUAAUACAUGCAAGUCGAACGCACUUCGGUUUUUGAUUGACGGUGCUUGCAUCAGAUUGACGAGACAUUGAAGUGAGUGGCGAACGGGUGAGUAACACGUGGGUAACCUGCCCUAAAGUGGGGGAUAACAUUUGGAAACAGAUGCUAAUACCGCAUAACAACGAAAACCACAUGGUUUUCGCUUGAAAGAUGGUUUCGGCUAUCACUUUAGGAUGGACCCGCGGUGCAUUAGCUAGUUGGUAAGGUAACGGCUUACCAAGGCAAUGAUGCAUAGCCGAGCUGAGAGGCUGAUCGGCCACAUUGGGACUGAGACACGGCCCAGACUCCUACGGGAGGCAGCAGUAGGGAAUCUUCCACAAUGGGCGCAAGCCUGAUGGAGCAACGCCG